ACAGGGGGCUUUUGGAAUGACCACUGUCCUUCAUGUCCUUAUAGACUAAGACAGAAAGAUCGAGAGUUCGGUCCCCAUCUGUACUAUACAGAGAUUCUGUCUCAAAACACAUCAAUAUACAAAAAAGCGGCCUUGAAGCUUAGGAAAGUAGAUCUUUCUUGGGAUCUGUUCUGGUAGGACAUUUUCUCAGGGAGCAGGAAGGGAGAAGACGGGACAGCAACGAGGAACCACAGAGCGGUCUCCAUGGACUCUGCCCUUUUGGACCUCCCCGUGGUUCCGCAAUGGCUUAGGGGAGUUCCCAGAAUGUGUGACGGAGUAGGGAUAGGUCAGAUCUGCAGCAAGGGAAACCUCAAUCUCUGCAAUCCCAGCAAGUUCCUCAACCUUUAAUGAGCCUACGCUUCUUGCUCAGCAAAAAUAGAAAGAAACGUGUCUAAUGGUUUGUAAAGAUAGAACUCUCCCUCUCCUAGUCUCGUGGACAUAGCAUUCAUUACUUUGUCUCACACUUCUCAAGGAUUCGGAUGGAUCGAUCGCUUCUCUAGCCCCACAGUGCCCUUUGCUCCAGAGUGUCUGCAAGCCUUUUAUUCUCAGCCUGCACCCGGGAAUCUCCUCCGACCCGGAAAUCAUUGGGAAAUCGUCUUGUUUUAUUGGCUCCUUUGUGCCAAAUUCUGGCGCAGGUGGCCACAUUCUGUUGUGCCAGGUGUGCCCCUGCCUCAGCCACAAUGAAGAUACCCGAGAGUCCAGGCCAGGAUUCUUCUUCUGCCCAUCACCUUUCCAGGUGAUGAGAGAGUGAGACCAGGACACAAAGCAAAUGACACCAAGGAGCAAAGCAGAGAUCACAAGGAAAAAGAAAAAGAUCAUAGCAGAGAAAUGUCCUCCAAUUCUGGUACUGAGCCUCUGUGAGGAACUGACAAAGAACAGUGUAAGAAAGGAGAAAGGUGAAAGGUGAGCAGGGUGUGGUGGCACAUGCCUGUGAUUCCAGACUUAGAAGGCUGAGGCCAGGGCAUUACUACAGUUUCAAAGCCAGCCUGGGGUACCUAGCGAGCCUCUGGAUAGCCUGGGCUACAGAGUGAGGUCAUAUUUUAAGAAAGGACAACAGGAACUGAAGAGAUGGCUCAGUGACUCCAAGCACUGGCUGUUCAUCCAGACGGCCCAGGUUUGAUCCCCAGAACUCACACUGAAGCUCACAGCCAUCUCUAAUUUCAAUUCCAGGGACCUGACUCUCUUUUCUGACCUCUAUGGGUACAAGGCAUGUAUAUGGUGCACAGACAUACAUGUAAAAACGAACAAAUCUUUUUUUUUAACUUACAAAAAUAAAAAGGUAGCUCAUGUGUAGAAAUUUCUUCUAGUCAGCAGGCAGGUAAAAUCAUGAAUGAAAGAUUUGUUUUGCAUUAACCCUCGUCAAAAAUUGAAAUUCUCUCAGGAGUGUUUUUUUUUUUCUAAAGCAAUGCAUGUAAUUACAACACACCAAUAUGGACUCCUCCCCCCCCCCACCCCCCAUGCCUUCCCUGAAGAAAAUAGACUUUGUCAAGGUCUAUUUGGAGACGAACAUACAGGAGCACAUUCAUGCGUCGGGUCACAGCUUAGCAUAUCUGACAGGUCUCAUACUGACGGUGUGUCUGGUGGUUCCAGAAGAAGUAGCGUGCUAAAUUGCCACCAGUGCAGUGAAAUAGACUGAAGAAAACACACAUGCACACCCCGGAGCAUCGGAGAGAAAACAAAGGACGCACUGGAGAGGGAGAGCGAACCUAACAUGAAAUAAGAUGCCAGAAGGAGGGCCAGACCCAUCCAUCAACGGGCCAUCAAUAAAUGCAAAUGGGAAAGCCUGCUCUGGAAAGAAAAUCUAUCAUAUGCCUUGGAUCAGGCAACGCUUAAUGUCACUUCGAUGUCUCUCAGCCUCAGGUUCCUCCAGGCCCGUCCCACUCUCUACAGUGACAAAUUGAUUUCACAAAAAAACAAUGAAGCCCAUCUCAACCUGUGGCCGUUGCACCACACUUUUCUCUUGAGAUGGUCCCUGGAAGGAAACCCUCAGAAGAGGAUAUAGAACUGGAUUGCUUCCUGUUCUGAUGCUAUCAGGAACAAUAGUCCUCGUGGUGAGUAAUAGCCCUUGGUAUGAAAUGGCAUCAAAAUGUCUAAGGCUUUAGCUAAGCAUACAACCCAGCUACUGAAGAGGCUCAGGCAGUGAGAUGGUUGGAAUGAAAAUGACCCCCUCCAGGCAGUGGUGGUACACACCUUUAAUCCCAGCACUCGGGAGGCAGAGGCAGGCAGAUUUCUGAGUUCGAGGCCAGCCUGGUCUACAAAGUGAGUUCCAGGACAGUCAGGACUACACAGAGAGACCCUGUCUCAAAAAUAAUAAAAAAACAAAAAACAAAAACAAAAAGAAAAGAAAAGAAAAAAAAAAAAGAAGAUGACCCCCAUAGGCUCAUAGGGAGUGACAUUUUUUGAAAGGAUUAGGACUGUAGCCUCCUUGGAGGAUGGAGGAGGUGUGGCCUUACAGAGGAAAGUGUGUCACUGGGGGUGGACUUUGAGGCUUCAGAAGCUCAAGCCAGGCCCCUGUGGCCUACUCUCUUCCUGCUGCCUAUAGAUCCAGAUGUGGAACUCUCAGCCACCAUGUACACCUGUGUGCCACCAAGUUCCCCACCAUGAUGAUAAUGGACUGAACCUCUGAACUCUAAGCCAGACCCAAUGAAAUCCUUUUCUUUUAUAAGAAUUGCCGAGGUCAUGGUGUCUCUUCACAGCAAUACAACAUUGACUGAGCCAGGCAGGAAGAUUGGUUGAGGCCAGGAGCUUAAGGUCAGCCUGAGCAAUAUGAUGAGACCCUGUACUGUGUGACUUUUUCCUAGAGAGACACCAAUGUCAGGCCAAAAAAAGAUUCUGUCCAAGCCUAACUUGGUGAAUCUGUGAAUGUAUUGGAAUUGCUUAUAGGAGUGUGGAUGACUCAAAAUAACUGCAUCUCUGAAAAGCCCACUCCAGCAUGGGUGACACUGUGUCCCUGGAGUGUCCUGUCCAGUUUGCAGUCAGCUCCACCAGAGAGUCUCCUCUCCCUUAGCAAUUGCUUACUGAUUAGAUACACUUGCAAAGGAGCCUUGGGAAACCUGUAACUUUCCUGGCUUCCUGAGCCUUAUAAAUUUCAUUAGCUUCUUGUCUGUCAGGAGCUGUCUUCUUGUUCCAGAGGGAAAAUAUGAAUCAGAGAAAAUGGUUUUACAAUACUGUCUCUAAAAUAAUAACUAAAGGCCAAGUGUGCUCCCCAACACCCAUAAUCUCAGCACUUAGAAGCCUGAGGCAGGAGGAUUGCCCUGAGCUCAAGAUCAGCCUGACAUAAUGGUGAGUACCAUGCCAGCCAGAGAUAUAUCUUUGUUGUUGUUGUUGUUGUUGUGGGUUUUUUAUUUUAUUUUGUUUUGUUUUGUUUUCCAGGACAGAGUUUCUCUGUGUAGCUAGCCCUGGCUGUCCUGGUACUUGCUCUAUAUAGACUAGGCUGGCCUCGAACUCACAGAGAUCUACCUGAAUUUGCCUUCCAAAUGCUAGGAUUGAAGGUGAACCCCCAGCACUUGGUGCCUGCUCUACAGGCACUUUAUCUACCACUUGAGCUACAUUGCUAGCUCAUAAACCAGCUUUUAGUAUCAAUAUAGAACCUUGGGAAUGGGGAGAGAAAAGAAGAAGAAAAGGAAGAAGAAAGUGACAUUCGCAGUGUAGCUAACAGCCAGUGUUGGUGUCUGGAAGCCUUGAGGAGAGUCAGGUCAGCAUCUGGUGGUAAGGGACACAAAGCUGCCAAAGGAGCAGCCUUUCUAGAACUAUCACACUCGAGAGUAUGAUAAAGGGCAGCUCUACCCCCCUACUCUCCACCUCCCACUGACACGGGGGCUGGAGGCAUUGGGUGGCCAAGCCCAAAUCCUAGAAUGUGAAGACCAGUGUGAACUUUCAGAGUUUCUCUGACACCAUCUUGGGGAAGUGGUUCUGAUGAGUGCUACAGUGGAUUUACUCUGUAAGACCUAAGAGGUCUCCCCCACCGGCCUCAUUCAGGAGGAUCUAGAAGCCUUAAAGUCUGUCAUAUCUCUCUGAGAUAGCCUUUGUGGCGGAUGAGGAUAUUUGCUGUCAUGGAAUGAGGCAUCUGGACCAGGAUGCCAAGCCCUAGCAGAGCUUGACGCCUGCUGGGCUAGGCAGACAGAAUCACCUAUGGCUGUAAGGAUGUCAUAGGCAGCUAGGUACACUGGAAAACAUAGCCAGGCAAGAUGGUGUACUUUGUGAGCCCAGCAAGACUUGAAAGUCAUC
This is a long non-coding RNA of Mus musculus (house mouse), 4266 nucleotides long. RefSeq annotates it as predicted gene, 31966. The transcript has 3 exons. Lineage: Eukaryota; Metazoa; Chordata; Mammalia; Rodentia; Muridae. The record is from RefSeq and is a predicted model, not a curated record.